Molecule: unclassified non-coding RNA, 518 nt
Filed under: uncultured Glomeromycotina
Lineage: Eukaryota; Fungi; Glomeromycota
Description: SSU rRNA
Rfam family: Eukaryotic small subunit ribosomal RNA
Source: RNAcentral
CGCCGCGGUAAUUCCAGCUCCAAUAGCGUAUAUUAAAGUUGCUGCAGUUAAAAAGCUCGUAGUUGAAUUUCGGGACCAUCAUGUCGGUCGUGCCUCGGUACGUACUGGCAUUGUUGGUUUCUCCCUUCUGACGAACCAUGAUGUCAUUUAUUUGGUGUUGUGGGGAAUCAGGACUGUUACUUUGAAAAAAUUAGAGUGUUUAAAGCAGGCUCACGCUUGAAUACAUUAGCAUGGAAUAAUGAAAUAGGACGUUUGAUUCUAUUUUGUUGGUUUCUAGGAUCGACGUAAUGAUUAAUAGGGAUAGUUGGGGGCAUUAGUAUUCAAUUGUCAGAGGUGAAAUUCUUGGAUUUAUUGAAGACUAACUACUGCGAAAGCAUUUGCCAAGGAUGUUUUCAUUAAUCAAGAACGAAAGUUAGGGGAUCGAAGACGAUCAGAUACCGUCGUAGUCUUAACCAUAAACUAUGCCGACUAGGGAUCGGAUGAUGUUAAUUUUUUAAUGACUCAUUCGGCGCCUUACG